AUAGUUUUUUCUGCUCGAUGUAAAUGGCCGCAGUACUUUGACUGUGCAAAGGUAGCAUAAUAAUUUGGCUUAUAAUUGAAGUCUAGAAUCAACGAAUCAUGGAUAAGACUAUAUAAAUUAAUAAUUUAAGUUACUAAAGAAGUGAAAAUUCUUCUUUAAAUAUUAGACGAGAAGACCCUAGAAAUUAUUAUUUUUGUUGGGGCAACAAUCUAUUAUUAUAAAAUAAAUUUAUAAAAUAAUUUAAUUACUCUAGGGAUAACAGCAUAAUUUAUAAUGAUUGUGACCUCGAUGUUGGAUUAAGUACAGUUAAGA
RNAcentral lists this ribosomal RNA (312 nucleotides) under Helicostyla corticolor. RNAcentral describes it as "partial 16S ribosomal RNA". Lineage: Eukaryota; Metazoa; Mollusca; Gastropoda; Stylommatophora; Camaenidae. The record is from RNAcentral.